Non-coding RNA from Oncorhynchus mykiss (rainbow trout), 1187 nucleotides. Lineage: Eukaryota; Metazoa; Chordata; Actinopteri; Salmoniformes; Salmonidae. The record is from RefSeq and is a predicted model, not a curated record.
CACUGCUACACACACACACCCUACUGAACCAUGCCAAGUCUGCAGUCUGAACUCAGAUCAUAGUGAGAGGAACAGAAUAAAAAAAACGCUAUACCACUCUCUCUUCCCUUUCCUGAUCUCUCUUGUUAUCUGUCACAGAAGAGGCACCGAGGUGAGGAGGUCUACGUUUAAAGGGCAAGAACAGACCAAUAGGAACGUUGUCAGCGAGUGGUCGUCCAAUCACCUCUCGCCACAUUUUCUGUUCUUUUCACCGACAAUUUGAUUUGUUUUUAUUGUUGGUCAACACCCAGCAGGUGAUCUACUGCACACGGUCAAUGGAGGUGGUCUGUGUUUAGUAUUCAGGUGAUCUACUGCACACGGUCAAUGGAGGUGGUCUGUGUUUAGUAUUCAGGUGAUCUACUGCACACGGUCAAUGGAGGUGGUCUGUGUUUAGUAUUCAGGUGAUCUACUGCACACGGUCAAUGGAGGUGGUCUGUGUUUAGUAUUCAGGUGAUCUACUGCACACGGUCAAUGGAGGUGGUCUGUGUUUAGUAUUCAGGUGAUCUACUGCACACGGUCAAUGGAGGUGGUCUGUGUUUAGUAUUCAGGUGAUCUACUGCACACGGUCAAUGGAGGUGGUCUGUGUUUAGUAUUCAGGUGAUCUACUGCACACGGUCAAUGGAGGUGGUCUGUGUUUAGUAUUCAGGUGGUCUGUGUUUAGUAUUCAGGUGAUCUACUGCACACGGUCAAUGGAGGUGGUCUGUGUUUAGUAUUCAGGUGAUCUACUGCACACGGUCAAUGGAGGUGGUCUGUGUUUAGUAUUCAGGUGGUCUGUGUUUAGUAUUCAGGUGAUCUACUGCACACGGUCAAUGGAGGUGGUCUGUGUUUAGUAUUCAGGUGGUCUGUGUUUAGUAUUCAGGUGAUCUACUGCACACGGUCAAUGGAGGUGGUCUGUGUUUAGUAUUCAGGUGAUCUACUGCACACGGUCAAUGGAGGUGGUCUGUGUUUAGUAUUCAGGUGAUCUACUGCACACGGUCAAUGGAGGUGGUCUGUGUUUAGUAUUCAGGUGAUCUACUGCACACGGUCAAUGGAGGUGGUCUGUGUUUAGUAUUCAGGUGAUCUACUGCACACGGUCAAUGGAGGUGGUCUGUGUUUAGUAUUCAGGUGAUCUACUGCACACGGUCAAUGGAGGUGGUCUGUGUUUAGUA